Molecule: non-coding RNA, 233 nt
Organism: Camellia sinensis
Lineage: Eukaryota; Viridiplantae; Streptophyta; Magnoliopsida; Ericales; Theaceae
Source: RefSeq, a predicted model, not a curated record
UAGGGAGAGUUCCAACACUACAAAAGGGAAAUAGAAUGGAAAAUAUAUUUAGUUUUCCAUGGUCGAAAGAUAGUCCUAUUGUUCUUGGACCGAGAUUUAAGGAUGCAUUCCAAGACCCAAAUUCAUACCUUGCCAUAGAGCCCAUCUUUGAGAAAGAGAGGUAAGAUGGUCUCAGCUUUAUAUGAAUCUUGUAAGAUGGUCUCAGCUUUAUAUGAAUCUUGUAAGAUGGUCUC